Molecule: unclassified non-coding RNA, 335 nt
Filed under: soil metagenome
Description: partial contains 5.8S ribosomal RNA, internal transcribed spacer 2, and large subunit ribosomal RNA
Rfam family: 5.8S ribosomal RNA (bases 1-120)
Source: RNAcentral
GAUGAAGAACGCAGCGAAAUGCGAUAAGUAAUGUGAAUUGCAGAAUUCAGUGAAUCAUCGAAUCUUUGAACGCACAUUGCGCCCGCCAGUAUUCUGGCGGGCAUGCCUGUUCGAGCGUCAUUUCAACCAUCAAGCCCCCGGCUUGUGUUGGGGACCUGCGGCUGCCGCAGGCCCUGAAAACCAGUGGCGGGCUCGCUAGUCACUCCGAGGGUAGUAAUACAUCUCGCUCAGGGCGUGCUGCGGGUUCCGGCCGUUAAAAAGCCUUAUUUACCCAAGGUUGACCUCGGAUCAGGUAGGAAGACCCGCUGAACUUAAGCAUAUCAAUAAGCGGAGGA